UUUGUUUUUACAGAUUUAAUAUCUGUUUAAAAAGUUUUGAUACCGAAAUGAAAAUUUAUUGUGAAUAAAGGAACUCUUAUUUGUAAAAUUUUAACUUUUGAGAAGCGAUGCAACUUUGCCAGUUUAGAUUUAAAAGCGGAUUUCAAAUUGUUUUAAAUGGAUUUUAUAAAAUCAUAAAAAUUAUUGUGAAAGUAAGGUUCAGUUAUGAUUUCAAAUUGAGAGUAUUUUAUCAUGUUGAUGCGUUUACAAACAAAAUAAUUUUUCAACGGGUUAAUUAUUUAGAUAAAAGUGAAAAUUUAAUUUGAGGUGCUAGUGAUUUCAAAUUAAAGGUGGAUAGCGCUAGUAUAUAUUUGUGUUUACGUAAAAUAUUUUUCUGGAGAAGUUUUGUUUUAAGCAUAACCAAUAAUCAAAUUGAGUGCGAUUAGAUCUUAAUGAUCUUCAGUAGGAUUCGAGGUUUUGGUGAUAUAGAAAUAAAUGUCAAGGAUGAAUAAUAUUGUUGUCAGAAGUAUAAGUUAUGUAUUCCUUAAAAAAUUGGUGUGUUUUCUUACGUCUUAGUUCUUGAAGUUGAUAGUAUUGUCGAGGAGAUCUUAGUUGGUUGAACCGAGACGAUACUAAUGGCGUUAGUUUUCAUCCAUUAUUUUGUAACGGCACAUUUGAUCUGAACGAUAUUUUGAAUUGUUGUUAAGCUUUCUCAUUUGAAGUAAUUGAUACUAUGACCAUUAUAAGUUCAUAGUGCGUAGACGCUAAGUGAUGUAAGAUUAUUUUCCGUAGAGAGUGCUUGUAGGUUUUCGGUUUGUAGUAUUGGGGUUUGGCUUAAUAAGUUUUUGAUUUGAAUUUUAGGUUUGAGAAAUCAAUGUUUAAUUCGUUCACACGUGGUGUUUGAGGAGCCGUUUGAAGUACCAAAUUGUUGAUCUUAGAGUUUUCCGCGUUUGCGUAUGGUGGUCUUUCGGGUUUUCAGAUCAGUUGUAAAUUCGAAGUCGUAAAAUUUUCAGCGUGUUUCGGUUAGAUGAUGUGUCGUUUUUCUUAGCUAUCCUCAGUUGAAAUUAUGGUAAGAUUACCCUUGGGUAGGAGUUUGCUUAAACUUUUGAGAUUGCGGUGAUGUUUUGCUUAGACUGAAUUAAACAAUUUUUAUUUUGUUAUCCGUAGAGUUGUCCCUCGGUCGUGAGUAAUCUUAGAUAUCACAAAUUGUGGUACGUAUAUCUCUUUCGUUCCGUCGAGGAUACGUUCUUCGUAUUUUGAGUUAUGUGUGAGUUUUACGUAUUGGUAAUUGAGUUUUUAUUACUGGGCUUUUUGAUAAAUUCGAGGACGAAUUUUUAGUAAGUUGGGGAGAAUGUAAUAUCCCGUAUUUUUCAUUAUUAUUAUUAAAUAUUUUUAUUUAAUUUUAUUUGAGUCGUUCGUUAAUUCGAUUGCGUUUCGAUUCGUGUUUGAUUCGAGUUUGGUUGGUAUUAUUAAAUUAAAUAAGUUAACCGUGUAUUUUUUUUAUUAUUCAAAGAAAAAGAAAAAUAAAUAUGCCUUUAACAUCCAUGCCCACCAUGUUUUAUUUGUGGCCCAUUUAAUUCCUAUUUGGCCAAAUUCUAGCCCAUUUGUUCUUUCAUCCAUGCACAGGUCUACCAAAUUUAGAACAUCAGCAAGUUUUCUUCUCUUUAAUUCUUAAAUAUUUAAUUUCUUUAAAUCCUAUUUAAAUUUCUAUUUGUGGCCCAUUUUAAACAAACAAUCAUUCCUCACACUUUCACAAAACCCUAGCCGUCAUUCUCCAUCAAGUUCUCUGAAAAUUCACCCUCAUAUUCCUCUGAAAUCCCGCGUUAUAUUUGGAUCCGUUUCGUCCUAGUUGAAGUAGACUCACGCCUCUAUGAUUCUCAACUUCGUUUUUGCCAAACGACCCGUCGACUGCUCGUGCUUCGGAGUCUACGCAGGGUUAGCUGUUUGCCAAGAUCACGUGGAUAAGCAAGCAGUUUAUUAUUUUGAGCGAGUCUGCAGAUCUCCGAAUCUUUAUUCCUCGGAGGUUUAUUUGAUUGGUGGUUUUCCGCAAGGCUUGCUACGGGUUUUGGUACAACCAUACCCAUACCCUAGCGCCGGUCGCGAUCCAUGAA
Molecule: long non-coding RNA, 2090 nt
Organism: Mercurialis annua (annual mercury)
Lineage: Eukaryota; Viridiplantae; Streptophyta; Magnoliopsida; Malpighiales; Euphorbiaceae
Exons: 5
Source: RefSeq, a predicted model, not a curated record